Molecule: non-coding RNA, 107 nt
Filed under: Streptococcus sanguinis
Lineage: Bacteria; Bacillati; Bacillota; Bacilli; Lactobacillales; Streptococcaceae
Also listed under: 1 other name
Description: PreQ1-II sequence
Rfam family: PreQ1-II (pre queuosine) riboswitch aptamer
About the family: Q is a hyper modified nucleoside present in some anticodons in tRNAs (Try, Asn, Asp and His).
Source: RNAcentral
UGGGGGAAUCAACUAAUGAUGCUCCUCUCAUGUGAUGCAACCCUUGGCGCUUAGCUUCUUUCGCCAAGCAUAUUACACGCGGUAAAGCCGCUAAAGGAGAAAACAUG